GAAUUGCAGAAUCCCGCGAACCAUCGAGUCUUUGAACGCAAGUUGCGCCCGAGGCCAUCCGGCCGAGGGCACGCCUGCCUGGGCGUCACGCUAAACACGCUC
This 102-nucleotide ribosomal RNA is filed under the name Peyritschia erectifolia. RNAcentral describes it as "Calamagrostis erectifolia 5.8S ribosomal RNA". The stretch from base 1 to 88 matches the Rfam family "5.8S ribosomal RNA", at positions 69 to 154 of the family's 154-position model. From Rfam's summary of the family: 5.8S ribosomal RNA (5.8S rRNA) is a component of the large subunit of the eukaryotic ribosome. Lineage: Eukaryota; Viridiplantae; Streptophyta; Magnoliopsida; Poales; Poaceae. The record is from RNAcentral.